This is a non-coding RNA of Vibrio sp., 81 nucleotides long. It matches the Rfam family "antisense RNA of dnaA mRNA". NCBI's taxonomy places the organism in Bacteria, Pseudomonadati, Pseudomonadota, Gammaproteobacteria, Vibrionales, Vibrionaceae. The record is from Rfam.
CUUGGCAUUUGGCUUAUUGUCCACAAUGGCAUUACCUACUGCGUGCAAUAGGUGAGUCUUACCUAGGCCAGUGCCACCAUA